RNAcentral lists this ribosomal RNA (219 nucleotides) under Clostridioides difficile. Its description in RNAcentral is "partial 23S ribosomal RNA". It matches the Rfam family "Bacterial large subunit ribosomal RNA", at positions 1325 to 1540 of the family's 2925-position model. The record is from RNAcentral. Lineage: Bacteria; Bacillati; Bacillota; Clostridia; Peptostreptococcales; Peptostreptococcaceae.
GAAUCCCACAGGCCGUAAACCCAAGGUUUCCAGGGGAAGGUUCGUCCGCCCUGGGUUAGUCGGGACCUAAGCUGAGGCCGAAAGGCGUAGGGGAUGGACAACAGGUUGAUAUUCCUGUACUACCGAUAACCGUUUGAGAGAAGGGAUGACACAGUAGGAUAAGCUAAGCACACUGUUGGUUAUGUGUGCCCAAGCAUUGAGGCAGUCAAAGUAGGCAAA